UACAGAGGUGUCAAGCGUUAUCCGGAUUUAUUGGGCGUAAAGGAUGAGUAGGUGGUUCUGAAAGUCUGUAAUGAAAUGCUGUUGCUUAACGACAGUCUGUUACAGAAACUACAGAGCUAGAGACAAGGAGAGGUAAGCGGAAUUCCAUGUGUAGCGGUAAAAUGCGUAGAUAUAUGGAGGAACACCAGUGGCGAAGGCGGCUUACUGGCCUUGAUCUGACACUGAAUCAUGAAAGCGUGGGGAGCAAAUAGG
This 252-nucleotide ribosomal RNA is filed under the name uncultured bacterium. Its description in RNAcentral is "partial 16S ribosomal RNA". It matches the Rfam family "Bacterial small subunit ribosomal RNA", at positions 524 to 776 of the family's 1533-position model. The record is from RNAcentral.